CCAGCCGGCAGCAGCCCCAAGGGAGGCAAGCUGCAAGAGAGAGGGAGCCGCCUCCAUGCCGCCCAAGCGCCGAAGAACUGCCACGCGCAUGGCCAGACAGCCGCCACCGCCCGCAACCAGAGCACGCAGGCUGCCUCCGCCCGCACGCGCGCCCCCGUGCAGACCUCUGCCGCCACCAGGAUGCGCCGCCCUGACGAGGUCCGGCCGCCGCCAGGGAGCGCCACGGAAACAAGUGACGCCUCGCCGGCCGAGCAGGGCCCCGCCACCGCCACACGGGCUUUGCCUGGUGGCGCGCUCAGGCGGCGGCGAGGGAGGGGAUGACGGCGCUAGGGUUUCAAGGAGGGUCAGGCUGAGAGAGUCUCCCCCGGCGCUUUUGUGUGAUUCAUGGAAGGCAACAAGGAAACUUAGUUCGUAAAA
This 417-nucleotide long non-coding RNA is filed under the name Brachypodium distachyon (stiff brome). RNAcentral's name for it is "long non-coding RNA (BDIS_LNC002467)". Lineage: Eukaryota; Viridiplantae; Streptophyta; Magnoliopsida; Poales; Poaceae. The record is from RNAcentral.